Molecule: long non-coding RNA, 574 nt
Filed under: Homo sapiens (human)
Lineage: Eukaryota; Metazoa; Chordata; Mammalia; Primates; Hominidae
Description: non-protein coding lnc-EFCAB5-4:1
Source: RNAcentral
AUGAAGACCAUUCUUGGCAAUCAGACUAUUGACAUUCCAGAAAAUGCAGACAUCACUCUGAAAGGAUGCACAGUUAUUUUGAAGAGCCCCAGAGGAAGUUAGGGAGGGACUUCAAUUACAUCAAUGUAGGAUGCAUUCUCCUUGGAAAAGAAGAGGCGCUAGGUUGACAAAUGAUUGGGAAAUAGAAAGGAAGUGGCUACUGCUUGCACUAUUUGUAAUCAUGUACAGAACAUUAUCAAGGGUGUUACACUGGGCUUCCAUUACAAGAUGAGGUCUGUGCAUACUCCUUUCCCCAUCAACUUAGUUAUCCAGGAGCAUGGGUCUCUUGAUAAAAUCCAAAAUUUCUUGGGUGAAAAAUACAUCUGGAUGGUUUAGAUAAGGCCGGGUGUUGCUUAUUAAGUUAUCUUAAGUCCAGAAAAAUGUAUUAAUCCUUGAAGGAAAUGACAUUGAGUUUGUUUCAAAUUCAACUGCUUUGAUUUAGCAAUCCACAACAGUUAAAAACAAAGAUAACAGAAAACUUUCAGAUGAUCUGUAUGUCACUGAAAAAGGAACAGUUUAGCAGGCUGAUGAAUAA